UUUCAGAUUAUGAGUAUGAUACAAUUUUAAGAGUGGGUGUAAUCUUAGUUCUGAUUUUCGGGAAAAUUUCUUACCAUGGAAAAGAGAAAUGUUAUCCGACGCAAAUUAUUCUUAAAAUCUGAAUUCUCUUAGAAGUAUAAUGAGGAUUAUUGUUGAAGUAACUACUUCAAGAAAAAGUCUACGCUUUUUCUUUUGUAUACCCGUGACCUGGAGAAUAGAAUUUAGUGAAACAAAAAAUUCGAAAUAAGGAGAGUUUCAUGUUAUUGUGCCUUGGAAUAUAAAUUUUGUUUUGUCUUACAAGGUCUAAAAACAAAAGAGCUAUAAGUAGAUUUGUGCUGCUGUUUCUUAUAGCCUUCAGCUAGAGCUACAUUGUUAACUUUUUAGUAAUAUCCUUUUUGCUAUAAAUAUAUGCUAUCAUAGCUUCUUCUAUUGUAUUGUAACACUGUAAGAGUGAGGAUCUGGAUCAGCAUACACUAUACCCGUUUCCCGAUAAGAGGAAGCGAUUAUCGGAACAAGAUCAUCCUAUUAUCGAAUUUAAAGAUCUAUAUUUGACUCGCUCGAGGAUGAACGCGGAGAUGAACGUUUAAAAAAUCGAACUCGUCUCAAGUGGCCGAAGUGUUGCCAGCUUCUCUUCGAUCACCAACGACGAAGCAUUUACGUCAAAGACUGUAUGACGUCAUCCAAUGAGCUAGAAU
Molecule: long non-coding RNA, 695 nt
Organism: Bombus pascuorum
Lineage: Eukaryota; Metazoa; Arthropoda; Insecta; Hymenoptera; Apidae
Exons: 2
Source: RefSeq, a predicted model, not a curated record